UUUGAUGGGCAAUAUGUAAACAAAAAUCAUUGUUAGUUGUAUUUAUUAGAGUUUGUAACCUACUCUGUUUUUUUGUUUAGGUAAUUUCACUGAUCUUGGUUGUCAUCUUCAUUUUCUUCGUAAGCAUCUGCGAAAGUAAGUUUGUAAAUUGUUAAAUGGCUGGCCCUGUACUUUGUAUUUGUUUAGCUGGCUCAAUAUAUGUGUCGUUGAGUUUUAGUUGAGUUAAUUGGUUUGGUAUAUUUGUUUUGAACUUUAUUUGUAAGAUUAGACAAAAAGAGAGGUGAUCAUUAAUGAUUCGUCUUUUUUGGAAUUCUAGUUUUUGGUGUUUUGAUUGUUUGUGUUAUUGUAGUUUCUUUUAAACUGUAAAAUAAAGAUUUGUGUAAAAUUAGAUUGAUAAGUA
Molecule: long non-coding RNA, 400 nt
Filed under: Brassica napus (rape)
Lineage: Eukaryota; Viridiplantae; Streptophyta; Magnoliopsida; Brassicales; Brassicaceae
Description: long non-coding RNA (BNAP_LNC019929)
Source: RNAcentral